CUGCAGUCGAGCGAGAAGGUAGAGAGUGAUUCUUCGGAUGAGCGAUCUACCAGACAGCGGCGGACGGGUGAGUAACGCGUGGGUAACCUGCCUUAUACUGGGGGAUAACAUUCUGAAAAGGAUGCUAAUACCGCAUAAGCGCACAGCAUCGCAUGAUGCCGUGUGAAAAACUCCGGUGGUAUAAGAUGGACCCGCGUCUGAUUAGCUAGUUGGUGAGAUAAUAGCUCACCAAGGCAACGAUCAGUAGCCGACCUGAGAGGGUGAUCGGCCACAUUGGGACUGAGACACGGCCCAAACUCCUACGGGAGGCAGCAGUGGGGAAUAUUGCACAAUGGGGGAAACCCUGAUGCAGCGACGCCGCGUGAAGGAUGAAGGUUUUCGGAUCGUAAACUUCUAUCAGCAGGGAAGAAAAUGACUGUACCUGACUAAGAAGCCCCGGCUAACUACGUGCCAGCAGCCGCGGUAAUACGUAGGGGGCAAGCGUUAUCCGGAAUUACUGGGUGUAAAGGGUGCGUAGGCGGUAAAGUAAGUUAGGUGUGAAAGCCCGGGGCUCAACCUCGGGACUGCACUUAAAACUGCAUUACUAGAAUACAGGAGAGGUAAGUGGAAUUCCUAGUGUAGCGGUGAAAUGCGUAGAUAUUAGGAGGAACACCAGUGGCGAAGGCGACUUACUGGACUGUGAUUGACGCUGAGGCACGAAAGCGUGGGGAGCGAACAGGAUUAGAUACCCUGGUAGUCCACGCCGUAACGAUGAAUGCUAGGUGUCGGGGGUCGAACCUCGGUGCCGCAGCUAACGCAUUAAGCAUUCCACCUGGGGAGUACGAUCGCAAGAUUGAAACUCAAUGAAAUUGACGG
This 855-nucleotide ribosomal RNA is filed under the name uncultured Eubacteriales bacterium. RNAcentral describes it as "bacterial SSU rRNA". It matches the Rfam family "Bacterial small subunit ribosomal RNA", at positions 55 to 916 of the family's 1533-position model. Lineage: Bacteria; Bacillati; Bacillota; Clostridia; Eubacteriales. The record is from RNAcentral.